GUGCUUAUCAAUACUUCCGACUCAUUGUCAGAUCGUGCGCGAGACGCCGUGGGCCGAGCUGUUCGAGAGGUCAGACAAGAACCAGGAUGAGUUCCUGACACAGGCCGAGUUCAGAAUGUUCUUCCAGUCCUUUGAUAAAGACGGCAACCCUCGUAUCGACAACCGUGAGUUUGAGGCUGGCUGGGCAAACCUCGACUUUGCCCGGCAGUCGGACGCCGACAGUCUGUUCCGUUAUAUCGACAACAACAGUGACCACUAGAUCACCGACGUCGACAUGGAUAAGCUGUUCGGCCAGUACAACGGAAAUGCUGACAAUAAGCUUGAUCUGCAAGAAGUAGAAAUG
Molecule: long non-coding RNA, 343 nt
Organism: Dreissena polymorpha
Lineage: Eukaryota; Metazoa; Mollusca; Bivalvia; Myida; Dreissenidae
Exons: 3
Source: RefSeq, a predicted model, not a curated record